AGAGUUUGAUCCUGGCUCAGCCUGAACGCUGGCGGCGUGGCUAAGACAUGCAAGUCGUACGGACCGCAAGGUCAGUGGCGAACGGGUGAGUAAUGAAUCGCUAACGUACCCCGGACUCUGGGAUAGCUGCCCGAAAGGGCAGGUAAUACCAGAUGAUAUAACUUUGUCGCAUGGCAGAGUUCUCAAAGGUCCGCCGGUCUGGGAGCGGGCGAUUUUGUAUCAGCUAGUUGGUGGGGUAAUGGCCUACCAAGGCGACGACGCAUAGCCGGACUGAGAGGUUGGCCGGCCACAUUGGGACUGAGACACUGCCCAGACUCCUACGGGGGGCUGCAGUAACGAAUCUUCGCAAUGCACGAAAGUGUGACGGAGCGACGCCGCGUGUGGGAUGAAGUUCUUCGGAAUGUAAACCACUGUCAGGGGUUAGAAAGUUCUGAUCAACCCCAGAGGAAGGCACGGCUAACUCUGUGCCAGCAGCCGCGGUAAGACAGAGGUNNCAAGCGUUAGGCGGAAUCACUGGGCUUAAAGCGUGUGUAGGCGGAUUUCUAAGUACCUUGUGAAAUCCCACGGCUCAACCGUGGAACUGCUUGGUAUCUGGUUAUCUUGAGCCACUUAGGGGCGACCGGAACAAAUGGUGGAGCGGUGAAAUGCGUAGAUAUCAUUUGGAACGCCAAUGGUGAAAACAGGUCGCUGGGAGUGUGCUGACGCUGAGACACGAAAGCCAGGGGAGCGAACGGGAUUAGAUACCCUAGUAGUCC
This 755-nucleotide ribosomal RNA is filed under the name uncultured bacterium. RNAcentral describes it as "bacterial SSU rRNA". It matches the Rfam family "Bacterial small subunit ribosomal RNA", at positions 8 to 796 of the family's 1533-position model. The record is from RNAcentral.